AGGAAAAGAAACCAACAGGGAUUGCCUCAGUAACGGCGAGUGAAGCGGCAAAAGCUCAAAUUUGAAAUCCUUCGGGAAUUGUAUUUUGAAGGUGGGUUUGGUUAGGAAAAGAUACUUUAAGUCCAUUGGAAAAUGGCGCCAUGGAGGGUGAUAGCCCCGUAAAAGUCCCCCUUUUCCUUCUAUCCAUUCCCUCCAAAGAGUCGAGUUGUUUGGGAAUGCAGCUCUAAGUGGGUGGUAAAUUCCAUCUAAAGCUAAAUAUUGGCGAGAGACCGAUAGCGAACAAGUACAGUGAUGGAAAGAUGAAAAGCACUUUGAAAAGAGAGUGAAAAAGUACGUGAAAUUGUUGAAAGGGAAGGGCUUGCAAGCAGACACAACCUCGGUUGGGCCAGCAUCGGAGUGGGGGGAGACAAAAAAGAAAAGGAAUGUAACUCUUUCGAGUAUUAUAGCCUUCUCUCAUAUCUCCACCCCCUUCCGAGGCCUGCGAUUCUUCAAGGAUGCUGGCGUAAUGGUUGCAAGUC
This 518-nucleotide ribosomal RNA is filed under the name Metschnikowia cibodasensis. Its description in RNAcentral is "eukaryotic LSU rRNA". It matches the Rfam family "Eukaryotic large subunit ribosomal RNA", at positions 54 to 646 of the family's 3401-position model. The record is from RNAcentral. Lineage: Eukaryota; Fungi; Ascomycota; Pichiomycetes; Serinales; Metschnikowiaceae.